Molecule: long non-coding RNA, 781 nt
Organism: Erinaceus europaeus (western European hedgehog)
Lineage: Eukaryota; Metazoa; Chordata; Mammalia; Eulipotyphla; Erinaceidae
Exons: 3
Source: RefSeq, a predicted model, not a curated record
ACAGAGCCAAACAACUGGCCCGCGCGGUCUCCGUGGCAACAGAGCCAAACAACUGGCCCGCGGUGGGCACGGGCGGCGGGCGGCGGGCGGCGGCCCCGCAGAGAUCCCGCUCCGGGCGGGACAGAGGCCCCUCGCCGGGACAGAAAUCACACAUACAUUUUCAGGAUUGUAGAGAGGUUGCCGGUUAGUCACCCUGGCUUGCUAUAUAAAGACCAGAUUAGACGGAGCAUGCUCAGUCUGCAAUGGCUGUAGACUUUAUAUAAAGAACAGGAGGCCUACUGGAAUCCGGUGAUCCUCUGCAAACAGUGUGGCUGACAUCUCUGGAGCUCAGUCUCAGGAAACAAAGACAAUGUGCAGAAGGAAUAAACAGACUGGUAUCUCAGAAAAAGUGUGGUGACCCCAGCAGGAGUUUGGGACUAUUAGCAAACAAAGCUACCCUGAGGAGGUGCUUCAGAGAAGGGGAAAGUAUGAAAGCACAGGACUUUGAGCACGUGAGUCUUUGGCUGCUGCUUCUUCUGGUCAGAAGCAUCUCGACCGUGUGCCAUGGCUACUUCUCCUGGGAACUGAACAUGUGUGACUCUGUUAGCCGGUAAACUUUUAAGAUCCCCCUGCAGCCAUGAGCAACGUAUACCUCAGCUGAUAAUUGUUUAUCUUAUGGGACUAAACUUUCGAUAACUAUACUCAGACUUUAUGGCCCUAGCGUACUCUUAACCCUUGAUGGUAAGAGCUUAUUUUGUCUUUUGCCUGUUUCACCCUAGUAAACCUUGUGUUGUUUAAACCA